The sequence is a ribosomal RNA, 207 nucleotides long. It matches the Rfam family "Bacterial small subunit ribosomal RNA", at positions 568 to 774 of the family's 1533-position model.
CGUGUAGGCGGGGAUGCAAGUCAGAUGUGAAAUUCCGGGGCUCAACCCCGGCGCUGCAUCUGAAACUGUAUCUCUUGAGUGCUGGAGAGGAAAGCGGAAUUCCUAGUGUAGCGGUGAAAUGCGUAGAUAUUAGGAGGAACACCAGUGGCGAAGGCGGCUUUCUGGACAGUAACUGACGCUGAGGCGCGAAAGCGUGGGGAGCGAACA